GACGAACGCUGGCGGCGUGCUUAACACAUGCAAGUCGAACGGAAAGGCCCUGCUUUUGUGGGUUGCUCGAGUGGCGAACGGGUGAGUAACACGUGAGUAUCCUGCCCUUGACUUUGGGAUAACUUCAGGAAACUGGGGCUAUUACCGGAUAGGAUCUCCUGCUGCAUGUUGGGGGUUGGAAAGUUUCGGCGGUUGGGGAUGGGCUCGCGGCUUAUCAGCUUGUUGGUGAGGUAGUGGCUUACCAAGGCUUUGACGGGUAGCCGGCCUGAGAGGGUUACCAGCCACAUUGGGACUGAGAUACGGCCCAGACUCCUACGGGAGGCAGCAGUGGGAAAUAUUACACAGUGGCCGGAAGCCUGAUGCGGCAACGCCGCGAUCGGGAUAACGGGCUUCGAGUUGUAAACAGCUGUCGACGGUAACGAAGCGUGCGUGACGGUAAUGGGUAAAGAAGCACCGGCUAACUACGUG
Molecule: ribosomal RNA, 468 nt
Filed under: uncultured bacterium
Lineage: Bacteria
Description: partial 16S ribosomal RNA
Rfam family: Bacterial small subunit ribosomal RNA
Source: RNAcentral